This 2067-nucleotide ribosomal RNA is filed under the name Bacillus toyonensis. RNAcentral's name for it is "partial 23S ribosomal RNA". It matches the Rfam family "Bacterial large subunit ribosomal RNA", at positions 3 to 2072 of the family's 2925-position model. Lineage: Bacteria; Bacillati; Bacillota; Bacilli; Caryophanales; Bacillaceae. The record is from RNAcentral. RNAcentral also lists the same sequence under 1 other name.
UUAAGUUAGAAAGGGCGCACGGUGGAUGCCUUGACACUAGGAGUCGAUGAAGGACGGGACUAACGCCGAUAUGCUUCGGGGAGCUGUAAGUAAGCUUUGAUCCGAAGAUUUCCGAAUGGGGAAACCCACUAUACGUAAUGGUAUGGUAUCCUUACCUGAAUACAUAGGGUAUGGAAGACAGACCCAGGGAACUGAAACAUCUAAGUACCUGGAGGAAGAGAAAGCAAAUGCGAUUUCCUGAGUAGCGGCGAGCGAAACGGAAUCUAGCCCAAACCAAGAGGCUUGCCUCUUGGGGUUGUAGGACAUUCUAUACGGAGUUACAAAGGAACGAGGUAGACGAAGCGACCUGGAAAGGUCCGUCGUAGAGGGUAACAACCCCGUAGUCGAAACUUCGUUCUCUCUUGAAUGUAUCCUGAGUACGGCGGAACACGUGAAAUUCCGUCGGAAUCUGGGAGGACCAUCUCCCAAGGCUAAAUACUCCCUAGUGAUCGAUAGUGAACCAGUACCGUGAGGGAAAGGUGAAAAGCACCCCGGAAGGGGAGUGAAAGAGAUCCUGAAACCGUGUGCCUACAAAUAGUCAGAGCCCGUUAAUGGGUGAUGGCGUGCCUUUUGUAGAAUGAACCGGCGAGUUACGAUCCCGUGCGAGGUUAAGUUGAAGAGACGGAGCCGCAGCGAAAGCGAGUCUGAAUAGGGCGUUUAGUACGUGGUCGUAGACCCGAAACCAGGUGAUCUACCCAUGUCCAGGUUGAAGUUCAGGUAACACUGAAUGGAGGCCCGAACCCACGCACGUUGAAAAGUGCGGGGAUGAGGUGUGGGUAGCGGAGAAAUUCCAAUCGAACCUGGAGAUAGCUGGUUCUCCCCGAAAUAGCUUUAGGGCUAGCCUUAAGUGUAAGAGUCUUGGAGGUAGAGCACUGAUUGAACUAGGGGUCCUCAUCGGAUUACCGAAUUCAGUCAAACUCCGAAUGCCAAUGACUUAUCCUUAGGAGUCAGACUGCGAGUGAUAAGAUCCGUAGUCAAGAGGGAAACAGCCCAGAUCGCCAGCUAAGGUCCCAAAGUGUGUAUUAAGUGGAAAAGGAUGUGGAGUUGCUUAGACAACUAGGAUGUUGGCUUAGAAGCAGCCACCAUUUAAAGAGUGCGUAAUAGCUCACUAGUCGAGUGACUCUGCGCCGAAAAUGUACCGGGGCUAAAUACACCACCGAAGCUGCGAAUUGAUACCGAUGGUAUCAGUGGUAGGGGAGCGUUCUAAGUGCAGUGAAGUCAGACCGGAAGGACUGGUGGAGCGCUUAGAAGUGAGAAUGCCGGUAUGAGUAGCGAAAGACGGGUGAGAAUCCCGUCCACCGAAUGCCUAAGGUUUCCUGAGGAAGGCUCGUCCGCUCAGGGUUAGUCAGGACCUAAGCCGAGGCCGACAGGCGUAGGCGAUGGACAACAGGUUGAUAUUCCUGUACCACCUCUUUAUCGUUUGAGCAAUGGAGGGACGCAGAAGGAUAGAAGAAGCGUGCGAUUGGUUGUGCACGUCCAAGCAGUUAGGCUGAUAAGUAGGCAAAUCCGCUUAUCGUGAAGGCUGAGCUGUGAUGGGGAAGCUCCUUAUGGAGCGAAGUCUUUGAUUCCCCGCUGCCAAGAAAAGCUUCUAGCGAGAUAAAAGGUGCCUGUACCGCAAACCGACACAGGUAGGCGAGGAGAGAAUCCUAAGGUGUGCGAGAGAACUCUGGUUAAGGAACUCGGCAAAAUGACCCCGUAACUUCGGGAGAAGGGGUGCUUUCUUAACGGAAAGCCGCAGUGAAUAGGCCCAAGCGACUGUUUAGCAAAAACACAGGUCUCUGCGAAGCCGUAAGGCGAAGUAUAGGGGCUGACACCUGCCCGGUGCUGGAAGGUUAAGGAGAGGGGUUAGCGUAAGCGAAGCUCUGAACUGAAGCCCCAGUAAACGGCGGCCGUAACUAUAACGGUCCUAAGGUAGCGAAAUUCCUUGUCGGGUAAGUUCCGACCCGCACGAAAGGUGUAACGAUUUGGGCACUGUCUCAACCAGAGACUCGGUGAAAUUAUAGUACCUGUGAAGAUGCAGGUUACCCG